CCUACGGGUGGCAGCAGUGGGGAAUAUUGCACAAUGGGGGGAACCCUGAUGCAGCGACGCCGCGUGGGUGAAGGAGUAUUUCGGGAUGGAAAGCCCUAUCAGCAGGGAAGAACACUGACGUUACCUGACUAGGAAGCACCGGCUCAAUAGGUGCCAGCAGCCGCGGUACAACGUAUGGAGCAAGCGUUAUCCGGAUUUACUUGGUGUAAGGGGAGCGUAGGGGGCGCGUUCAGCCUGGUGUUAAAGCCCGCGGUCCCACCGCGGGAGUGCAUUGGAAACUGGCGCGCUGGAGUGCCGGAGGGGUAGGCGGAAUGCCUAGUGUAGCGGUGAAAUGCGUAGAUAUUAGGAGGAACACCAGUGGCGAAGGCGGCCUACUGGACGGUGACUGACGCUGAGGCUCGAAAGCGUGGGGAGCAAACAGGAUUAGAUACCCCGGUAGUC
Molecule: ribosomal RNA, 441 nt
Filed under: uncultured bacterium
Lineage: Bacteria
Description: partial 16S ribosomal RNA
Rfam family: Bacterial small subunit ribosomal RNA
Source: RNAcentral